Molecule: ribosomal RNA, 506 nt
Filed under: uncultured bacterium
Lineage: Bacteria
Description: bacterial SSU rRNA
Rfam family: Bacterial small subunit ribosomal RNA
Source: RNAcentral
GAUUAUGGCUCAGGAUGAACGCUAGCUACAGGCCUAACACAUGCAAGUCGAGGGGCAGCAGAUCGAAAGCUUGCUUUGAUGCUGGCGACCGGCGAAUGGGUGAGUCACGCGUGUCCAACCUGCCCUGUGCCCGGGGAUAGCCCUUGGAAAUGAGGAUUAACACCCGAUACGUGGCGCUUCCGCAUGGCGGCGCCAUGAAACUGACACAGGAUGGGGACGCGUCGGAUUAGCUUGACGGCGGGGCGACGGCCCACCGUGGCGACGAUCCGCAGGGGUUCUGAGAGGAAGGUCCCCCACACUGGCACUGAGACACGGGCCAGACUCCUACGGGAGGCAGCAGUGAGGAAUAUUGGUCAAUGGCCGAGAGGCUGAACCAGCCAAGUAGCGUGCAGGACGACGGCCCUACGGGUUGUAAACUGCUUUUGCGGGAGGAUAAAUGACGCCACGUGUGGCGUUUUGCAGGUAUCCCGUGAAUAAGGACCGGCUAAUUCCGUGCCAGCAGCGGC